This 310-nucleotide ribosomal RNA is filed under the name uncultured eukaryote. Its description in RNAcentral is "partial 18S ribosomal RNA". It matches the Rfam family "Eukaryotic small subunit ribosomal RNA", at positions 1470 to 1796 of the family's 1831-position model. The record is from RNAcentral.
CCCUUAGAUGUUCUGGGCGGCCCGCGCACUACAAUGGCGCUUUCAGCGAGUUCCUAUGUUGAAUUUUCCUGGGUAUUCUUGGAAGCGGCGUCUUGACUUGGGAUAGAUCCUUGUAAUUGUUGGUUUUGAACGAGGAAUUCCUUGUAAUCGCGGUUGAUCAGCUCGCGUUGAAUACGUCCCUGCCCUUUGUACACACCGCCCGUCGCUCCUACCAAUGAAUCGUCCGGUGAAGUUCACAGAGUGGCGGUUCGUGGAGUUGCUCGCGAAGUGAAAUGGACCUCACGAUUUAGAGGAAGGAGAAGUCGUAACA